This 450-nucleotide ribosomal RNA is filed under the name uncultured bacterium. Its description in RNAcentral is "bacterial SSU rRNA". It matches the Rfam family "Bacterial small subunit ribosomal RNA", at positions 335 to 783 of the family's 1533-position model. The record is from RNAcentral.
ACUCCUACGGGAGGCAGCAGUGAGGAAUAUUGGACAAUGGGCGAGGGCCUGAUCCAGCCAUGCCGCGUGCAGGAAGAAUGCCCUAUGGGUAGUAAACUGCUUUUAUACGGGAAGAAAAAGGGGCACGUGUGCCCUGUUGACGGUACCGUAAGAAUAAGGACCGGCUAACUCCGUGCCAGCAGCCGCGGUAAUACGGAGGGUGCAAGCGUUAAUCGGGAAUUACUGGGCGUAAAGCGUGCGCAGGCGGUCUGUUAAGCGAGAUGUGAAAGCCCGGGCUCAACCUGGGAACUGCAUUUCGAACUGGGCAGACUAGAGUCUUGUAGAGGGGGUAGAAUUCCAGGUGUAGCGGUGAAAUGCGUAGAGAUCUGGAGGAAUACCGGUGGCGAAGGCGGCCCCUGGACAAAGACUGACGCUCAGGCACGAAAGCGUGGGGAGCAAACAGGAUUAGAU